This 253-nucleotide ribosomal RNA is filed under the name uncultured bacterium. Its description in RNAcentral is "partial 16S ribosomal RNA". It matches the Rfam family "Bacterial small subunit ribosomal RNA", at positions 524 to 776 of the family's 1533-position model. The record is from RNAcentral.
UACAGAGGUCUCGAGCGUUGUUCGGAUUCAUUGGGCGUAAAGGGCGCGUAGGCGGCGGGGUAAGUCUGGUGUGAAAUCUCGGAGCUCAACUCCGAAAUUGCACUGGAUACUGCUCUGCUAGAGGGCUGGAGAGGAGAUCGGAAUUCACGGUGUAGCAGUGAAAUGCGUAGAUAUCAGGAGGAACACCAAUAGCGAAGGCAGCUCGCUGGGACGGUACUGACGCUAAGGCGCGAAAGCGUGGGGAGCGAACAGG